RNAcentral lists this ribosomal RNA (741 nucleotides) under Enterococcus faecium. RNAcentral's name for it is "bacterial SSU rRNA". It matches the Rfam family "Bacterial small subunit ribosomal RNA", at positions 714 to 1454 of the family's 1533-position model. The record is from RNAcentral. Lineage: Bacteria; Bacillati; Bacillota; Bacilli; Lactobacillales; Enterococcaceae.
GCCGACGGCGCCUCUCUCGUCCAUAACAGACGCUGAGGCUGGAAAGGGUGGGGAGCAAACAGGAUUAGAUACCCUGGUCGUCCACGCCGUAAACGAUGAGUGCUAAGUGUAGGAGGGUUUCCGCCCUUCAGUGCUGCAGCUAACGCAUUAAGCACUCCGCCUGGGGAGUACGACCGCAAGGUUGAAACUCAAAGGAAUUGACGGGGGCCCGCACAAGCGGUGGAGCAUGUGGUUUAAUUCGAAGCAACGCGAAGAACCUUACCAGGUCUUGACAUCCUUUGACCACUCUAGAGAUAGAGCUUCCCCUUCGGGGGCAAAGUGACAGGUGGUGCAUGGUUGUCGUCAGCUCGUGUCGUGAGAUGUUGGGUUAAGUCCCGCAACGAGCGCAACCCUUAUUGUUAGUUGCCAUCAUUCAGUUGGGCACUCUAGCAAGACUGCCGGUGACAAACCGGAGGAAGGUGGGGAUGACGUCAAAUCAUCAUGCCCCUUAUGACCUGGGCUACACACGUGCUACAAUGGGAAGUACAACGAGUUGCGAAGUCGCGAGGCUAAGCUAAUCUCUUAAAGCUUCUCUCAGUUCGGAUUGCAGGCUGCAACUCGCCUGCAUGAAGCCGGAAUCGCUAGUAAUCGCGGAUCAGCACGCCGCGGUGAAUACGUUCCCGGGCCUUGUACACACCGCCCGUCACACCACGAGAGUUUGUAACACCCGAAGUCGGUGAGGUAACCUUUUUGGAGCCAGCC